AUUGAACGCUGGCGGCAGGCUUAACACAUGCAAGUCGAGCGGGGUGAUGGUGCUUGCACUAUCACUUAGCGGCGGACGGGUGAGUAAUGCUUAGGAAUCUGCCUAUUAGUGGGGGACAACAUCUCGAAAGGGAUGCUAAUACCGCAUACGUCCUACGGGAGAAAGCAGGGGAUCACUUGUGACCUUGCGCUAAUAGAUGAGCCUAAGUCGGAUUAGCUAGUUGGUGGGGUAAAGGCCUACAAAGGCGACGAUCUGUAGCGGGUCUGAGAGGAUGAUCCGCCACACUGGGACGGAGACACGGCCCAGACUCCUACGGGAGGCAGCAGUGGGGAAUAUUGGACAAUGGGGGGAACCCUGAUCCAGCCAUGCCGCGUGUGUGAAAAAGGCCUUAUGGUUGUAAAGCACUUUAAGCGAGGAGGAGGCUCUUUUGGUUAAUACCCAAGAUGAGUGGACGUUACUCGCAGAAUAAGCACCGGCUAACUCUGUGCCAGCCGCCGCAGUAA
This 503-nucleotide ribosomal RNA is filed under the name uncultured bacterium. Its description in RNAcentral is "partial 16S ribosomal RNA". It matches the Rfam family "Bacterial small subunit ribosomal RNA", at positions 30 to 523 of the family's 1533-position model. The record is from RNAcentral.